This 8579-nucleotide long non-coding RNA is filed under the name Eucalyptus grandis. Its description in RNAcentral is "long non-coding RNA (EGRA_LNC004208)". The record is from RNAcentral. Lineage: Eukaryota; Viridiplantae; Streptophyta; Magnoliopsida; Myrtales; Myrtaceae.
CGCUCCACUUCAUCGCGUUCUGCUUCAUCUCCUCGGCCUUGGGCCCCGAGGUUGCCUCGCGGAGGCACUGCUCGACCACGUCCCGCGUGAUCAGCUUGUUCUCUGCCUCGCCCCGGCACAUCCUCACCCCGACCUUGAACACGUCGACUAGGUACUUGGCGUCGGUGACCUGGUCACCCCACUGCGGGAACGCCACCACAGGCAUGCCAGAGGUCAAGGCCUCCAUGGUCGAGUUCCAACCGCAGUGCGUGACGAAGCAGGCCACCGAGGGGUGAGCCAGGACUUGCUCUUGCGGGCUCCACUGCACCACCUUGCCCCUAUCACCAGCCUUCUCCAAGAACCCUUCAGGCAUUUUGAGAACCUCAUAGCCAGAGUCCUUGUGUGGAGGCUUCAUGACCCACAAGAAGUUGACCCCGGAGUUCAACAGCCCAUAAGCAAUCUCAUCCCACUGGUCUUGCUUCAAGUACACGACGCUCCCAAACGACACGUAAACGAUCGAGGAAGCAGGCUUUGAGUCGAGCCAGCCGACGCAGUCGUCAGCCUUCAUGAAAUCGCCCUUGACAGUGGCGUUCGGGGCCUUAGGGUUCUUGAAGAGCGGCCCGACUGUCUUGAUGGGGCUGAUCUUGGACAUGUACUCAAUGAUCUCAUGCUCGAGCUCCUGGAACGUGUCCAUCAGGAUGCAGAAUGGCUUGUCCAAGUUCUUGUACUGCCCCAUGAUCGCCCGCCGGAGGAAAGGGUACGGGGUCGUUGGGUACAAGAAGCUCGGGACCUCGUCGUGCUUUAGGAGCGGCAUGCAAGGGAGUUGCACAUCGAUCUCCAUCGCUGUCUCAGACGGGAAGGGGACCAGGCCAUGGUAGUAGUAGUAGUACGAAGUGAAGCAUGCACAGGAUUGCACCCAGAGCAUCGCUGAGGGGAGGCCGAGGCUAUCGGCGACAUCGGAGACCCAGGGGAUGAAAGGAUUGUUGAUGAGGCAAGAGAUAGGGCGGCCUUGCUCAGCGUUGCGCCGGAUCAUCUCAGGGAUGAGGACCUUCCCGACCUUCUCGAGCUGGGGGAGGUACUGGUCGAGGUCCUGGCGGCGUAUCUCGUCCUCGUCCCACCCGUCCUCGAAGAACUCAAACCGGAUGAAGCCAUCACCGACCGGGGAGAGCUCCUCACCGAUGUUGCUUGCCUUGCGCAUCGCCUUCCCGAUGCUCUCUGGGGUUGUGAAGGUGACAAGCAGGCCCUUGGAGGCGAGGCGCUUGCCAAGCCUCAGGAGCGGGUUGACGUGGCCCUGGCCGGGGAACGAGACCAAGAGGACGUGGACGAGCGCCUCCGACCCCAUAUCGUUUCUGAGCUCGGGAAGAGAGAAGUGAAACGAUGUAGUAUAGGUUUAUGUGUGUAUGUGUGAGCGAGAGAGGGAGGGAGGGAGGGAGAGAGAGAGUUUGAAGUUGGUGGUGAUGAGAGUGUGUUAGAGUAGCUGAAAUAUAUAGCAGUGGAGGAGAGGAGAGGCGAGAUUAGAUGUUCGAUUCAUCGGUCGUUCGCGUGGGGUUUGACCUCGAAGGGGACCGUUUGGUGGGGUAAGUUACGCAAGUUCGAUGCUCGUCGGUCGUGUUGAUCCGCGCGAGGGCAUGCUGUCCUUAGGCUUUCUUGGAGGGUUUGGUUGAGAAAGGCCUAGUCGAGCUUCGGGUUUGACCAGACCGUCUGAGGAAUUGAACUGUUGCCAGGAAGAAGGAUAGCCGCAGAGGAAUGCAUGGCCUUGGCGCACGUCUUGUCGCUUAAUUAAUGACGUCAUGCGUGACAAUUCAUAAACCUGUGGUCGCUUUCGUUUUCUGAAUAAUUACCUAAAUCUAAACGUUGUCACAAGUUCAAUGGUGCACUUUGGAGGUACAGUUGGGUAUGUAAAAGUGCGACUAACUUUGAUAUCGAGUUGAGAAAUAAGAAAUAAAUGCAAAAGUGAGCAAUUGUGUAUAUUUUGAUGUAUUAUAACAAUGAUUUCAUUAGCCUAUUUAUAGACUUUAUGAAAUAACUAAAUAAGAUAAUAAAUCAAUCAAGAUAUGUACAAUCAAAUAAAAAUAUUUCGCAUAAUGUUGAGAAAAUCAUCAAAAUUAUCCUAAAUAUCUCCAAAAGUAACUUUGACCUCACAUUUUCGUUUCAGCAUUUUUUUUCAAAAUAUAAUUUAGGUAUAAAUGAAUUUAUUUUCUUCCAUUUUCCCUCACUUAUAUUUCUGUAUUUCUGCUUUGCCCUCCCUUUACUGUCUAUCGUCUCUCUUUAAGCCAAAAGCAGCCGCCAUUGCUCCACAUCCUGGUCGACCCGAGCCCAGAGUCAAUCCGAGGCUUCCACGGAUGGGUCCACAACACGUGUCUUCAGACGGCCGGCAUUAAAACACUUGGAUCGAACGGCUAAAAAGAGGCGGCAAAAUUGUCCGUGCACAAAAAUAUAUCGCUAAACGACCUUGAGAUUUUUCGUCUUCCACCAGAAGCAGAAAACCAAAGCGGUGACAAUUUGCGUGCAUGUUUCAAUUUUAUUAGCUGAAUUCCUUCAAUUGGAUAAAUUGUUUUAUAAUUUACUAACUUUCAUAAUUUACAUAAUAUCUCGUAUAAUCCUAUGAAUUAUGCAAAAUUAUCUUGUCAAAUAGUAUAUUUAGCUCAUCGAUAGUCAAUACUUGUUUAAUAGCCAGGUCUAUAUUUUCCCAUAUCUUUCUUGUAUACACUAAUAGAGGAACUAAUAUACAAAGUUUUCAUGAUUGAUUGACGUGUAAAAUGACAAUUUUCACCAAAAUGUAAUCUAGACAAUGUUGUUUUCAAUUGGUUCCGAUCAUCUCUUGGCACUGCCUACGCAAAAUAGCCUACUCCCUCUUUGCAAGCUAGUCUAACCAGGUUACACCCUUUUUAUAAAUUUGUUCAUAUCUUUGUAAUUGAAAUAAUUUUUAUGAUUUUGAGAUUCCAUAACAAUUGUUGUCAUAAAGAUAUCUUCUUUCCUUUCGAAAUCAAAACCAUAUGAUAGACCCUACGGAAUGUUAUAAAUGCUAUUUAAUGUUGCACCAUGCAAUUUAAAGCUGACACCUAACCAUGAAGGGAAUUCAGACCGCCCAAAUUUAUUUUUAUUUUCCAAUUCUUUCCUCUUUUUUUCUAUUUUUCUCCUUCUUCAGUUCUGUGUUCUGAGCUUAUCCACCCCGCAAACAAGUCACGACGAUUCCUUCCACCGCACAACGUGAAUCAGCCUCUGCGCCACCGCCAUUGACGAGUGAUCCCUGCCCCCGCCGCCCACGGUGUCGCCAUUGUGGCUCGUACCGCCGCAACUGCUAAUGCUGCUAGCGAAAUAUUCAAGCUCGAUUCGACUUUAUCAAUUUAUACAGGCGCGAUCUUAAAAAUGCUUAGACAAAGUGAGUGUAUUGUGUAAUUUUGAGAACAUAUAUGUUUAUGUUAAUUGACAAAUAUUUUUUGAAAAGAAUAGUAGAGGUUCGAUUAGAUUCGCGAACCUUAUCCAGCUGAAUUUUCAAGCUUGAACUUGAGCUUGACUCGACAAGAUACUCGAGAAGCUCUAGCUGGAGCAUAAAUUAACGAGCCAUUCUCAAGUAAUCAUCAAUCAAGGCUAAGCUACUCAUGACUAGCCUGACUUAUUUUUGUGAGUGCUAGUAUGAACAAAAUAAAGGAGUUAGGGAAGAGAAUAAGAACACAUAAAUUAUAGUGGUUCGGCUUAAUCCAAGCCUACGUUCACUCUCCCACGCUAACAGCCUUCUUGGCUGGAUUCCACUAUGCAAUCAACAAGAGAUUACAACUUUGAGUGCAAACACUUAGUAGAUCACACUAUCUCACUAAGUCACUCUUUUGGUAUUUCUCUCAUGAUUACAAACAUUUAAGCUCUCAAGAGACAAGUAUAUGAUCGAAAGUCGCUCAGACUUUGGAAUUAUAAAUUCUACGCUCCGUCUCUUACUUGCUCACCGGUCCUUCAUCUCCUUAAAUACUCAUCCACUUCCAAACUAGCCGUUAGACAGCAUCCCGGAGAAUCGUCUUCCAAUAUACCCAUUGGACAGCUCUGUAUCUAGAAGAUUUGGUAGCCGUUGAGUGACAAAGGUAUAAUCCCAAAUUGAUUCCGAUCGCCCAUACAAACGGAAUCUUGGUUUCCAUAAGUAAAGCUUCUUCGUAUAGAAAGUUCUUGUCUUCAAGAUCCAAUCAUCAAUCAAAUAGAUUGAAUCAAUCAAAUCAAUCUUGAUGUGGAAUCCAAACCAUAUCACUAGCCAUUAUAUGAUUGGGCUUGAAUUACGUUCUGUCGAAUCUGGAUGUAAAGUCUGAUAGCCAUAGACUUUACAAUCUGAGUCUGUAGACUUUACAAUUUGGGUCUAAACAUAUCUGCUUCUGAACAGAUUUAGCUUUAAGGUCUGUACCCAGUUCAGCUUCAGCAUAGAGUCUAUCUUCUGGUUCAGUUUCAGCAUAGAGUCUGUCUUCUGGUUCAUCAUUCACGUUCAGUCUGGAAUUUGUCAGAGUGAGCAGACUUCUGAUGUAAAACAGACUUUGAUACUAAAGUCUGGCAGUCUUCAGACUUUGACACGGCAGUCUUCAGACUUUGACACAGAAGUCUGGAAAUCUUCAGAAUAUACUUUGGACAUAUGUUACGUUAAGUCUUCUGGCCGUCUUCUGACUUUGAUAAUAUCAUCUACAUGUUCUAACAUCUGCAUGGUCUAAAACAUUAACGAGCCAUUCUCAAGUAAUCAUCAAUCAAGCCUAAGCUACUCAUGAGUAGCCUGACUUAUUUUUACCUUUAGUCAUGAGUGACAUCAUGGCACAUUAAGUAUAACUUGUUUUCUCAUGACAACUAUACAUGCUGCAAUCACUUCUUAAUUUAGAAGACCUCUAUUCUUUGAAAUAAAUUUUAAAAAAAUUAAUAAUAAUUUCUAACCUUUUAUUUUUUUACAAGAACCAAAAAGAACUAUUCGUGCACUUAAAUGGUGACUUUUAAUUUAAUAGUUUUAUUAGCAUUUUAUAGUCAAAGCAUGCACAUAGAGAUCCGAUUAUCUGUAUAUUUAUAAUAGAAAAAAAGCUUAUAAGCGUACAAACAGGUUAAGCUGGGGGUUUUAACUUCUACAGCCGGCUAUGAUUCAAAAUAGCUUAUAUAUAAUUGAUAGAAUUUAGAAAGACGGUAUUCAAUUCCCGAACUAAAACAUUUAUCGAUAUCCCAAUCAACUAUAUGUUGAUACUAGAGGGUUAAUAGUUUUCUUUAUGGUUUAGCGUAGCUUUAAUAUACAAGUCAUUUUAGAUGCACAAUUUUUAAUCCCAAUUUGGAUUUUCCAAAUAAACAAGGCGUAAUACGAUUUCUUUAUAAGAAUGAUACAAACGGUAGACUCCAGAACAAGAGAAGUAAAAAAGGAAGAUUGGAUUGCUGCAUCAUCCAUCUAGAAGACCGAGACAUCAAAGCUCUGACAGACGGAUGCGGGCAGAUGAGUCGCUUACCGUUUGGUGGGUCUUCGCAUUAUUUAAGACGAAAGUGACAAAACUUUAAAGCGUGGAAUAUGCCAUCCAUACAUAUACAAAAAUGGAAAAAAGAAAUAUAGGAUCCCGUGCACCGCAAAACCCAUCUUUCUGUCGAUCUCUUUUUUCAUUUUAUUUUAAUUGUUUUUGGUUAAACUUUCCCAUCACUCAAUGCCAUCGAGGACCGCACGAAUUUCUUAAAUGCUUUGGCAUUACCGUUUUCGAUCCGGUAAAAUAACUCCUCUAAAAUUACGGUAUCGCUCCCAAAAUGGACAGUAUGGUCAUCAUGAUUUUUUAAUGGUACUUAUUUGGUACCAUUAUUUUUCGAUAGUUUACCUAAGUUCCGAAACAUUCAAUGUGACGAUAAAAUCUAUGUCACUUUUGGUUGAACGUAUUUUAAAAAUUGAGCACUUGACCUAUAGAAAAAUUAUAGCACCACAAGUUUUUUUUUCCCAAAUUAAUGAUAAUUAAAGGAUUUAUUAAAAAAUCACAACAUCCAAGUGAGCGCUGCGAAAAAGUCAUGAUAAUUGAGGUAUAUUUUUCCCUAAGAUUGCAUGUGGAAAAAGGAUAUUCUCCUACGUUUUUGUGAUUGGUGUGUCAAAUUACAAUGCCAUUACGUAACAGUCCAUCAUUUUCAUCAAUGACGUGAUGGCACCCCCAAUAAAAAAAACGCAAAUAAAUUCCAUCUAAUUUUAGGAGACAGCUAUGGGAAACUAUAUUUCCAAAGAGAUACAUCGAUGACAAAGGGCAUCAGAGUCUAACCAACAUGUAAUGUAUUUUAAUUGUGUGCAUCUAACCGAGUUGGAACUUUAGAUUCUCAAGGGAACAUGUUUUGGAGAGCGACAAGGCAUGAUGAUCCCGUCCUCGGCACCAGCUAAUUUUCCGAUGAUUUGACCAAGCACGACAUUCAUACUGCGCAGUCAACAGCUUUUAAAGUUUGACUCUUCUUUAUGCCUGAUCGACUGCGAGAUGAGGAGCGGAUUAUCAAAACGAGAGGCGAUGUGGAAUGGGAGGCAACCGCCUUUCAACGAACUGAUUUUCCAUAGGUGGAUGUUUCGGUUUGGAACAUCUGUCUGGCAUCGGUUGCUGACUCUCAUACGGCUUGUAGCCUUUUUUGGGCUGUGGUCCUCCAUCAUAAACGUUAAAUUUACGUACUAAGUUUAGUUAUUUAUAAGGUAUUGAGACAUUAGUAGUGAUAUAAGAAACCCUAAUUGAAUCGCCUUGCCAAAAAACUUUGAUCCUAACUUAGUAUCCUUACCAUCUAUGAAAGAUUACACAUACCCAGCAGCAUCUCUCUCCGUGUCUCUCUCGCUCCCCUUGACCUCGCGUCCCGCCUUUGAUGAAUUUAAUGGCUAUUUGCUACUGAUGAAAUAAUUAAAUAUUAAACCGUGCAUUCAUCUAAAAGUUUAAGUUUUUAGAACAGUUAGCGGUAGUCUAAAAAAUUCUUUUAUGUUAUUAGAGCUAGAACUCCUGAGUUUGAAUUUUUUUUAGAUCUUAUUUACCUCCCUAAUUAAAUAUGUCCAUACUUAAUACUAGGAAAAAAAAAUCAAACUAAGCGUGAGAAGGAGUGAUAGAAUAAUUAAAUAUUAAACCAUGCAUUUUUUUAAGAGUUUAAGCUUUUAGAACAGUUAGCAAUAAUUUUACGAAUUCUCACAGCUAUAGUCAACAACAAUACCAUAGCAUAGAGAGAGAGAGAGAGUAUAUGAUGCAGCUACACUUGAUGUUCCACUAAAAGAGUGAACCGUUUAGUUGAUGCCUCAAAUAUUCUCCUAGGUCCAAAGGUUUGAAUAAGAAAUCGAUUGAACUCCGAGUGCAAUCCAAAUUAACUUAAGAUAUAUAUCAUCUAAGGCAUGACUUAUCGACCAAAAAUAUUACAUGGUUAAGAGUUUGAUCAAAGGGCACACUAAGGUCAUUCUCAUGAAGACGUUUCCAACCAUACCCAAUUUGUCCAAAUCGGACGACCGGAUAUUAUCUCAUCUUUAUCUACAUAAAAUAAUUAUCAUAAAAGUGAAAACGUAAUGGAAAAUAUUUGUUCAUGAAACGUGUAUAAUUUGUGAACCUAGUAUAUACAAAAGGCCUAUUUUCUUAGAAUUCAUUUGUUUUGGAGAAAAUGGAAUCAUCUUCCUAAAAAUAAUUUAUUAUAUAAAAAUAUUUCCUAAAAAUAAUCCCUUAUAUUACUUCAAAUAAACAAUAAACGAAAAAUGUUCAUUGUUGAUAGCAAUUUAUAUUUAACCGUUUUUGUAGAUGAUGCAAAUAUUUUUCGUUCAUUCAUUUUUACAAGUUACAUAAAUGAUUGUUUUUAGGAAAAUAUUUUCCAAAUCAUUCAUUUUUCCGAAAAUAAACAAUGUCUUAGUUUUGUCAAAUUAUUAUUAUGACGGACAUCAGAGAGAGAGAGAGAGAGAGAGAGAGAGCAAUGGAUCAUUUGGCAUCAAUCAAGCAUAUGAUAUGUAUAUCAAGCACUUUCAAUAGGGUCUGGACUCUCACAACCAAUCCAUGCAUCUCACAGAUUGGUACAAUUGAUCAUACAGCUAGCACCUUUCCGCUUUCGGAGAGAGAGAAGGCAUGGUUCCUUCAAUCUACACCCCAAAACGAGACACACCUGAAUUUCUCAUCUCCACCUCACGACACCACCUUUAACUCCCCGUUGACCUUUGGCUCGCCCAGCUCCGCAACCCCAUUGGCCGCCACUUUGUUGGCCAAGUCCGCCCCUCCGUUGGCCGUUGACUUGCCACUCGCAGCCAGCACCUCCAGGCUCCUCCUCUUCACCUCGUCCACGAAGGCCUGGAUGUUCCGGUCUGAGGAGCCACCCUCCGCCACGGCUGCCUCCGCUGCUGCGCUCCACUUCUUCGAGUUCUGCUUCAUCUCCUCGGCCUUGGGCCCCGAGGUUGCCUCGCGGAGGCACUGCUCGACCACGUCCCUCGUGAUCAGCUUGUUCUCUGCCUCGCCCCGGCACAUCCUCACCCCGACCUUGAACACGUCCACUAGGUACUUGGCGUCGGUGACCUGGUCACCCCACUGCGGGAACGCCACCACAGGCAUGCCAGAGGUCAAGGCCUCCAUGGUCGAGUUCCAACCGCAGUGCGUGACGAAGCAGGCCACCGAGGGGUGAGCCAGGACUUGCUCUUGCGGGCUCCA